Molecule: ribosomal RNA, 503 nt
Filed under: uncultured bacterium
Lineage: Bacteria
Description: partial 16S ribosomal RNA
Rfam family: Bacterial small subunit ribosomal RNA
Source: RNAcentral
AUUGAACGCUGGCGGCAGGCCUAACACAUGCAAGUCGAACGGUAGCACAGAGAGCUUGCUCUCGGGUGACGAGUGGCGGACGGGUGAGUAACGUCUGGGAAACUGCCCGAUGGAGGGGGAUAACUACUGGAGACGGUAGCUAAUACCGCAUAACGUCGCAAGACCAAAGUGGGGGACCUUCGGGCCUCACACCAUCGGAUGUGCCCAGAUGGGAUUAGCUAGUAGGUGGGGUAAUGGCUCACCCAGGCGACGAUCCCUAGCUGGUCUGAGAGGAUGACCAGCCACACUGGAACUGAGACACGGUCCAGACUCCUACGGGAGGCAGCAGUGGGGAAUAUUGCACAAUGGGCGCAAGCCUGAUGCAGCCAUGCCGCGUGUAUGAAGAAGGCCUUCGGGUUGUAAAGUACUUUCAGCGGGGAGGAAGGCGGUGGAGUUAAUAACUUCACCGAUUGACGUUACCCGCAGAAGAAGCACCGGCUAACUCCGUGCCAGCAGCCGCGUAA